UUUAUAAUAAAUAUGAAUAAAAGGGUUAAUUUAUGUUGGUUGGGGGUUAUUGGUUAUUAUAAAAAUAGUAGGGGUAAGUGAUAUAUAUUGAUUUCAGUAUAAGGGAAAUUGACAAUCUCCUUAAACAUAUCAUUAGCGUAGUGAUUUAGUGGACAAUGAUGGUUAUUUUAUAGUGAAAGAUAGUGUUAUGUGAUAUUGUUUCGAUCAUUUUAACAUAUAGUGUCACAGAAUUCUACCAUGUGUUUACGUGCUAACUAUAUGGUGGAUACUACUGUUCACUAGUUGUUCUUCUCAUAUAGUUAUAAAUAUAUUUUUAGAGUUUCUCAAUUUGUUAUACAAUCUUGAAUGAAUUGGCAGGUCAACUUGACAUAAUUGUUCNNNNNNNNNNNNNNNNNNNNNNNNNNNNNNNNNNNNNNNNNNNNNNNNNNNNNNNNNNNNNNNNNNNNNNNNNNNNNNNNNNNNNNNNNNNNNNNNNNNNAAGUUGGUUAAUAAUUAAAUUUUUUCGCAAAUCUAAACUUUUAUAGUUUUUUGGUCUACAUAAAUUGGUUAACGAAUAUAAGGAAAACGCUUAAACUAAGAGGUUGUUUGAUAAAUGUCUGAAGUCUGAAAUUUUAUAAUUUCAGACAUUUUUUAAAAUAUGUUUGUUUAUUUUUUGUAACUUAUGUCUAAUUUUCAGACAUUUACAUCUGAAUAAAAAAAGUAAACUUUUGUGACUUUUAUCUAAAUGGAAAAAAUGUCUGAAUGACAAGUAAAUAUUAUAUUCUAAAAAUAUCUCUAUAAAAUAACUUAUUUCCUAAACUAUAAAAUCUAAUCCUUUUUUGUUUUAAUUUACCAAGACACAAAUGUCAAAUAACCAAGUUUAAGAUAUUUUUUUAUUGUAAAAAUAAACAAGAUGCCACUUAUAUUCAGAUAUUUAAAAAAGAAAAACAAACAUGUCAUUUAGAUUUUCGUAAUCAGACCCAUUCAAACUUUAGAAAAAUUCAGAUCUAUUUAGAUUUCAGACAAAAAAACAAAUGCUACCUAAGAGAGGAUUCUAAUUCAUGUAAAUACAAUUUUUUAUUUGAUAAUAACAUUUAUAUUACAUGCGAGGUUAUAGAUUAGAUUAUAAUUUUUAAUUACAGACCAUAUAAUUUACUACUAUGCCAAAUAUCAGAAUCAUAUGCCAGAUUUUUUACAAUAUGUUAGAUUAUAUGACAAAUUCUUCGGGAUUUAAACUUUUACUAUAUGUCAGAUUAUAAAACGGACUCUUAGGAUUUAGAUCUUUUACUCUAUUUAGAUUAUUUCACGGAUCCUUCGGAAUUCAGAUUCUUUUACUCUAUGUUAGGUUAUAUAACGGAUUCUUUAGAAUUUAACCUUUUUUUUUCCUUUUCAUAUUUAAUACCCUCUAAACCACUACUUUUCUUCUUAUAAAUAAUUCUAGAGGCUCUCUUGAUCAUUCACAUUUUACACAAGAACUCAUUUUCUAAUUUGUAAAACUUCUUAAAUAUUCCUCUUUAGAUAAUAUUUCACAAAAAUCAUGGUUGAAGUUGUUGAACGAGAAGGAGAAGAUGAAGAAGAAGAGGAAACAAAAGUUAUAAAAAAAUUAAGUUUGAUAAUAUCGAAUUAGCGAUUUACCAGAAAUAGGAAGGUAAGAUACAAGGAUUUUCAAAUUUCAUAAUGCAAACUUUUUGGGCAUGAUAUACAUGAAGAUGUUGCAUCACGAGUCCUUCUUUACUUCAGAUUUUCGCUUAUUGUAAUAUCUAAAUGGGAAAUAAUCUAUAAACCACCAGUGAUGAAGGUAUGAUUAAAAAAAAAGAAAGCUCAGAUUUUGUUUUGUACUUUAAGUAUUGCCCUAUAACUCUCAAUGAUCUGCUCUCUUAACAUAAAAAGAAAACUUUAUAAUGUCUUUUGAUAUUUGACAUAAACAAUAGUAAAAUGUGUUUUAAUUUCUUGCUUCAUUAUGCACAGUACAUGCCAUGAACAUGAAGUCAUGCACUGUCGCCAUUUGUCUAUUUUCAUUAUACUUUGAUGCAACAGGGAGUUUAUUAAUAGAAUUACAAGAAAAUUUACAUAAUUAUACAUUUUGUAAACUCCAUCUCACUGCAGCAAAUUGGAGGAUUGAACGUAACCUACGCUCAAAUGGGACAACUUAUGUUACGGUAAGUUGAUUUACUUUAUGUUUCGAUCCCAUUGAUGAAUUUAUUCCUUGUUAUUAAGUUAAUUAUUGGUGAAGCUUAUUGUGAGAUUAAAGAUUUGGUUUCAAAUAAGAGAUUUUGUUAAAUGGAAGUAGCAUGUUUGAGAAUAUUUGUUGUCAGAAUCAAGUGUUUGAUGCAAUGAACUAACUGCUCGAUGAAACGUUUCAAUGAGCUCCUCUACACCAAGCCCCCGUCAGCAGGGGUCCUUUGUGUAUCAGCAGCAUAUGAUUGGGCAUGAAGACAGGUGAAGCUGUCCUAUAUGUGCAAAGGACAUUUGAUAACAGCCUUUAGAGCAAAUUGAACAUUGCCAUUAGAUCCAUAUAUCUUAUAGCUGUGUAGUACUUUGUAUAUGUUUUAAUGAAAUAUUAUGCUGUGCCGUUUUGCUAUCCUUUGAUAUUGGGUGUAAAUCAGUCGAUUUUAUUUACUAUAUGGAAAGCUAUGAUCUCUAGUCAAUUUCAUACAAACUUAUUAAUUUAACAAACUUGUGUUGUUACAAUUUUACUUCACAGUCCUCUCUCUUUCCUCCAUUCUCCAUAAAACCCUCAUAGAGAUUCAACUUCUCUUCGUCUUUUUGUAUUUCUCUUAAUAAAAAUAAAAAUAGAAAAUCAAAGACUAUUAUAUGAUCAACAUGGCUCUCAAAAAUGUGCUUCUUCUUUCGGUUUUGGCAUGCCUCAUGUCGUCAUCAUAUCCAUAUGCAACCGCAUCCAGGGAGCUUCCCCUCAAGCAGCACGAGGCUUGAUGCCAUCAACAAAAAUGGCCUAUUUGAAGGCUGGAUCUCAGUUUUGCGGUUAAUUCUUUCUCGAAAUACAUUGUUAAUUUUUUUUUGUCGCUGGCAAGACUGAUCGUGCCCCUGAAUGUCGCAUGCCGUACCAUUUGCACCAUUAUGCAUGAAUGUUGGCCUUCCAUGCCCACUUCACUGGGCCUCUCAUCCGACAAAGCCAAAUUAAUACUAAAAAGCUGCUGCCAUGCAUCAACUAAUCCUCCAGCUGCCUCUCCAGUUUCAAGUUAAAGGUUUCUUGUUUCGUGUUGUUUAGUUUCUGUUUUGUCUUCUGAUAUUCUCGCCUGUCUACAUAAGUCUUGGAAUUUCUCUCAUAUUUUGCUAACUCUAUCAAUAAUGACCCUUAUUUGAAAUAAAAGUUAAUUCAUUGGUUAGUUGCACAAAGAUUGCUGAUUAUUUUAACUUAAAACUAUAUUUGCUUAUAUUUUAGGGAGAUUGCCAAUUUCCCCCCUACAGUAACUAAUAUAUACCAUUUUCCCCCCUGCUGUUUUUAUAAUGGCCAAAAACCCUCCUUGAUAGCAUAAGUUUAUAAUAUUACCCUUAUUUUCAACUACUCUUUUAUUUAUAUUUAUUAUAAAUUAAAUAAAUGACAUGAAUAGAAACUAAAUAAAAAAUUUAAGCAUUAAAAACAAGAAAUAUAUGUUUUAAUAUGAGAAAAAAAUUAAUAACAAAUUUUUUUUCUUUUACUUAUUUUGUAAAAAUUUUCUUAUAAUAAAUAUAUAAGAAAGUUAUUAUAAAAUGAUAAAAAAAUUAUUAUAAGAAAAUUUGAAUGACUAAUAAAAAUUUAUUAUAAGAUAAAUAAUAAAAUAUUUUGCCUAUACUUUUUACAUUUAAUUUUAAAAUAUUACAAAAUGUUUAUUAUAAGAAAAUGUUCACAAAAUAAAUAAUUACAAGAAAAAAUUUUAUUAUUAAUUUUUUCUCAUAUCAAAACAUAUAUUUCUUGUUUUUAAUACUUAAUUUUUUUAUUUAGUUGCUAUUCAUGUAAUUUAUUUAAUUUAUAAUAAAUAUAAAUAAAAGAGUAAUUAAAAAUAAAGGUAAUAUUGUAAACUUAUACUGUCAUGAGGUUUUUUACCAUUAUAAAAAUAACAGGAAGGUAAAUGAUAUAUGUUGAUUACUGUAGGGGGAAAAGGGACAAUCCCCCUAUAUUUUAAUAUAACGUGUGCAUUUAUGUGUGUAUAUAUAUAAGUAUCUUAGCUGCCACAUAUUUCUUUUACAAUCUAGUAGAACAUAGCUGUAAGUACCAUAAAGUUUGGUCACUUACACCAAGCCACGUGUCAAUAAAUACACUAUAGAUUUUGAGACUCUGGAUGUGCCCAGUACAAAUAGAUAAAGAAGAGAAAUAUAUUACUGCCAAAUGCCAAUAUAUUAUUGAGGCAGCUAAAUGGUAAGCGGAUUUGCUGCAGUGGAAGACCUGGGUAGCUUGGCGCUGAUAAAGAAGAAGAAAGCUUCAAGAGUUUGUGAAUGCGGAAGAGAAUAGGUUACAAGGUUAAUUGGUUGCAGACUUACGGGUGGUGGGGUUUCGUCAAGGCCAAGUUUAGGUGGUACAAUCUAUUAUUAUUACCUAUCACGAUUUGCAGCUCACGCACUUCUCAGGUGAUCAUAAUUCACGAGGAAAAGUGCUGGGAAUUUUUUACUUCUCACGCUAGGGAAGCCUGAUUUUAGGCCUUCUAUGUACAGAAGAAUUUCUCCUAUUCUAUAUAUGCAUAUUGAAAAGGAUUACUUGCAAGGAAGGCUUCUAGGGAAAGCCUAAUAUGUUCUUCAAAAGAUGACUGCAAUGAAGUUGUCACAUGUGAGUGUCUCAUUAGUAUGGAUAUUGUGACAGUGUUUCAAGGGCCAGAGAAAUAUUUGAUGAGCUGUCUAAAUCAGGGAAGGACAUGAAAAUUUCAACCCCUGAAUGCGAUGCUUGGGGCUUACUACAUCAACGGUUUGCCAAUGGAAACAGAUUUGGAGACUUGCAGUUCUUCUCUGGCUAUUUCACAAUCUGCAAGUGCCAAAACUGAUUCAAGCAGGUCACUGAGUACUGUAAAGACUGAGAUUGAAGAAAUAAAAAGACAACUUUACAUUCUUCUGAUUCCUUCCAAUCAAGCCUUAGCUAAAUUGAAAACAGAGUCCGUAUGGCAUGGGAAUGUUUGACAGGCUGGCUCCUGAAUAUUUUGCUGUUGAGCUGAUUUGUAGUUAAUAUCAUUAUCAAACAAUGUCAUUUCUAAUUCCACUCCAUCAUACGAGAAAUUGAACCUUCUAUGAAUUAUGAGAAUACAACCUCAAUUAAAUUAAUACUCUAUAAAUUAGUAUUUUAAUUGAAUAAUAAAUUUUGCUAGUCCCUAACUUAGGGUUAACUUACUAAAUUAUAGUUCGAUUAAUCAAUAAAUUUUUCUUGAUCCCAAAGCUAUUAUGGUUCUAGUUAUUUCUUAUUUUCAAGUCUUUGGUCUCAAUAGUCAAUACCCACAUUCUAACAAACGAAGUGGCAAAACAGCUCCGAUUCUUCAACUAGAUUCUGAAUAAUCACAGACUCACAGUUUGUUGCUUUUUAUGAUGUCCAUGAGAAUUCAAUUUUUAUGUCAGGUUACGGCAUGAAACUGACUUAAUAAAUCACUUAAUUUUAAUAAAAUGUAACCACUCAAUUCCCAUAUGUAACAUUAAUGGAGGUAAUUGUAACUGCUAAUAAUGUCACGAGUCAUUAACAGCUGACAGAAGAAAAGUUCACUUAUCUUAAUUUGAAAGUUUUCUUGCACAAGAAACGAAUUUCUGAAUUUCAAUCACAAUACAUGAUUCUUCCUCGUGUAAUUUAUAAAUGAACUGUAUUUACCCACAUGCACACGUAGUGACGUAGUUUAACUUAAUUUGAUUGCUUAUGCAAAUUUUGGGGUUUUGACCCAAUAGUCUUGUCCGAUUGAUAAUGUAAUAACUUUUUGGGGGGAUACUUUAGGGGCUCUUUACAAGCCUUUGGUUCUCUUGCUAUUUCUUUCAUUUGAAUAACAAGCACAUUUCCAACUAUGAAACCAAUUUUACUGUCAUAAAGUUAUUCUCAAAAGUAAAAAUAAACCCUAUUUGGAUUUAAUUAAUUAUUGAGGGUUCUUAAGUACAAAAUUUGCAACCAUCCAUCAAUUGCCAUGUUAUAAAACAGAUUCAGAAAAGUUUAUAAAUGGAGAUCGGAAAACAUUAUAUAUUAUCAGUCUGUUUUUUAGCGUACGUCGUCAAAAUAGACUUAUUAGUCUAUAUCGUGUAAUUCAGUCUCUUGAUUUUGCAUUACUACAAUUCCAUUCUGAUUUUUAGUGUGAGCCAUAUUGUAUUCUAUAUGAGCAGAAUUUAACACGACAUGAAACCAAUUUAAACUAGAUAAUCAUCUCCACACAAGAAACCAUAGAUCAAGAGGCAAGACUUCCAUAAAAAAAACACGAAAAAUAAAGCAAAGCUAGAACUAAAAAACCCUUUUAUUUAUUUAAAAUUGCAUUUACUAAAUUAACACCAUGGAAAUAGAAGUGCCAUUGAUGCACCUUGUCUAAGUCAAAACCUUGGAAACCUGAGGCUGAUAUAUCACCGCGGGGCCACCUGGAGAAGGAGCAGAAGAUGCAUCACAGUAGCCUCUCAAUAUGUUCCCUUCUUCGGCAGUGAAUCCGAGGGAGGUGAGCAUGGUAGGCCAGCAAUUACGGGUGAUGAUAUCAAUAGCGCGGCAACAGUCAGGGCCAAUAUCAGCCUGGCCAUUAAGGAAGAAUAUAAUAAUCUCAUUUGAGCAGGAUUUCAGCUCCAUUAAUGCGUUCCAGCACUCCGUUAGACUUCCGCUAGCUUCAAGUCUUGUUGCAAGAUUGUAGCCUAGUUUCAUAUUGUUGUUGAGGUGAUCAUUCCUGCUAGUUGCAUUUGCAAUAUUUGCCAUAAUCAGACAAGUGAGGGCCAAAAUGAAAAACGCAUGCUUUAGAGCCAUUGCCAUUUUUUGUUCUUUUGUGUUGUGUUUAUGUUCAUGUGGGAUAUCAUAUUUUUUGUUGCUAUUUAUAAAUUAAGGUGAGGAAGAGGAGAAGACUGAUUAAAAAUGUUGAUAAAUUAUUGCGUAAUUUAUGAUCAAGAAUAAUUUUAAUUAGAGAAGAUAGUGGGUCUUUUGAUAAAUGGUUACAAAUUGAUUGUGUAAUAAUAGUCAAAUUAAUUAUGAGAUCUUAAGAGAAGAUGAAAAGCCAAAUUUGAAAUCUCUAUACAACUUCAAUACAUUGAUGCUAUUUAUAUACUAAUUAUUGGGAGAUUUAGCUGUUGGGUUACCCUAGAGCUGUUGAAAUCAGCUCAUUUCAGAUCAUAAUUCUACAAUAAGUACAUUUCAAUGUGACUAAGAAGCUGUAGCAUCGUCAGUUUUGCUCAAUGACUAAAGAUAUAUAGAUGCUGAAUUUAGAGCGCAAAUGGUUUCUAUCUCAGGUGCUAUAUAGUAGGAAGUCCCAUUGAGUAACUUGACUUGCAAGCAUGACAAAAUGCUAGACAGAGACUUACUUAUAAAGAUAUAUAUAUUUUAAUGCUUAAACAAGGCGGUCAGAGUCAAUUUAUGAUGAUGCGUAGAAGAAUUUAAAUGCAAGCUACUCUGAAUUCAGAUUGAUGAACUUUUACAUAUUGAGUUUCAUUUACAAAGUUGGCUGACUAUAGAAUAACAUUGCUCCAACAUACAAGACAUUUAUCAAUUUUUAACUUUUUAAUAGAACUUCUCUAAAGUAAUAAUAAUAAUAAUAACUCAAGGUGUUUUUGUGUAUUAGAGUUGGUUGAAUUUCUCAUGAAACAGCCCGUUUAGACGCAAUUUCCUUUUGGAAAGAUGUAAUUGAUGAAUUGGUUCUGUUUAUGAUCUGUAUCAGUACAAAAUCCCAUCAUUUUCACCUCAAAACUUUUUGUUAGGCAAUUGAACCGCGCGAUCAUAACGCUCAUUAAUCACAUGAAUCUUUACUUCGAAGUCAUUUCUCCAUUUUGAUAAUUAAUAUAGCGUAUGUAAUUGCACGCGACUAUCAUUUUUUUAAAUUAAUCACGUUAUUUUUUUAUUCCCAUACGAAGGAUUUCAACCAAGAGAUAUUAUCAACUCUCUUAAAACAAAAAUAACACAUUGCGCACUUUAAUUUAACUUGGAAGAAGAUUAAAAGAAAAACUUUAUUUAAUUAAAAAAACUUUAGUUCUUUUUUUUGGGGGGGGGGGGGGGGUGGGAUGCUGGGGAAUCUCCGGUCAAUUUGAUACGACAACAAAUAAUUAAGACGCUCCUUCGAUUUGAAGCUUAGGCGUUUCUUGACUAUAAUUGGCUUCUGUGGUUUCCGCUGCAGGCGGUGCCCAUUUGCAUCCCUAUCCCCCGUGCUUACUAUUGACGAUUUGUCGUCUUAUAAAAACUCUUAAAGCUACAUGUCUGUUUUAUUUUUGGUAAAAGGAGGUAAGGCAUGUUGAUAGGCUCGUUCUUUUACCAAAAAAAAAAAAAGAGGUAAGGCAUGGAAAAAGCAACUGAAUUGGAACCAUUUUUCCAGUGAUUGAUUAUUUGCUUAUUCAAGAGGUUUUUGAUUAGUAUAUUGCCUUUAUGUUUACGAGAAAUAUGUUACUGCCAAAUGCGAAUAUAUUAUUGAGGCAGCUAAAUGGUAAGCAGAUUCGCCGCGGUGGAAGACUUGGGUAGCUUGGCGCCGAUAAAGAAGAAGAAAGCUUCAAGAGUUUAUGAAUGCAGUUACAAGGUUAAUUGGUUGCAGACUUACGGGUGGUGGGGUUUCGUCAAGGUCAAGUUUAGGUGGUACAAUCUAUUAUUACCUAUCUCGAUUUGCAGCUCAUGCACUUCUCAGGUAAUCAUAAUUCACAAGGAAAAGUGCUGGCCAUUUCCUACUUCUCACGCUAGGGAAGCCUGAUUUUAGACCUUCUAUGUACAGAAGAAUUUCUCCUAUUCUAUAUAUGCAUAUUGAAAAGGAUUACUUGCAAGGAAGGCUUCUAGGGAAAGCCUAAUAUGUUCUUCAAAAGAUGACUGCAAUGAAGUUGUCACAUGUGAGUGUCUCAUUAGUAUGGAUAUUGUGACAGUGUUUCAAGGGCCAGAGAAAUAUUUGAUGAGCUGUCUAAAUCAGGGAAGGACAUGAAAGUUUCAACCCCUGAAUGCGAUGCUUGAGGCUUACUACAUCAACGGUUUGCCAAUGGAAGCAGAUUUGGAGACUUGCAGUUCUUCUCUGGCUAUUUCACAAUCUGCAAGUGCCAAAACUGAUUCGAGCAGGUCGCUGACUACUGCAAAGACUGAAAUUGAAGAAAUAAAAAGACUUAAUUUUACAUUCUUCUGAUUCCUUCAUAUCAAGCCUUGCUAGAUUCAAAACAGAGUCCGUAUGGCAUGGGGAUGGUUGACAGGCUGGCUCCUGAAUAUUUUGCUGUUCAGCUGAUUUGUAGUUAAUAUCACAUUAUCAAACAAUGUCAUUUCUAAUUCCACUCCAUACGAGAAAUUGAACCUUCUAUAUAUUAUGAGAAUACAACGUCAAUUAAAUUAAUAUUCGAUAAAAUAAUAUUUUGAUUGAAUAAUAAGUUUUGCUAGUCCUGACUUAGGGUUUACUUACUAAAUUAUAAUUGGAUUAAUUAAUAUUAGCUUAAUCAAUAAAUUUUUCUUGAUCCCAAUGCUAUUAAGGCUCUGGUUAUUUCUUAUCUUCAAGUCUUGGUCUCAAUAGUCAAUACCCACAUUCUAACAAACGAAGUGGCAAAACAGCUCCGUUUCUUCUACUAGAUUCUGAAUAAUCACAGACCCACAGUUUGUUGCUUUUUGUGAUGUCCAUGAGAAUUCAAUUUUUAUGUCAGGUUACGGCAUGAAACUGACUUAAUAAAUCACUUAAUUUUAAUAAAAUGCAACCACUCAAUUCCCAUAUGUAACAUUAAUGGAGGUAAUUGUAACUGCUAAUAAUGUCACGAGUCAUUAACAGCUGACAGAAGAAAAGUUCACUUAUCUUAAUUUGAAAGUUUUCUUGCACAAGAAACGAAUUUCUAAAUUUCAAUAACAAUACAUGAUUCUUCCUUGUGUAAUUUAUAAAUGAACUGUAUUUACCCACAUGCACACGUAGUGACGUAGUGUAAUUUAAUUUGAUUGAUUAAGCAAAUUUUGGGGAUUUAAGCCAAUAGUCUUGUCCGAUUGAUAAUGUAAUAACUUUUUGGGGGGAUACUUUAGGGGCUCUUUACAAGCCUUUGGUUCUCCUGCUAUUUCUUUCAUUUGAAUGACAAGCACAUUUCCAACUCUGAAACCAAUUUUACUAUCAUAAAGUUAUUCUGAAAAAUAAAAAUGAACCCUAUUUGGAUUUAAUUAAUUAUUGAGGGUACAAAAUUUGCAACCAUCCGUCAAUUGCCAUGUUAUAAUACAUAUUCAGAAAAGUUUAUAAAUAGAGAGAUUGGAAAACGUUAUAUAUUAUCAGUCUGAUUUUCAACGUACGUUGUCAAAAUAGACUUAUUAGUCUAUAUCGUGUAAUUCAGUCUCUUGAUUUUGCAUUACUACAAUUCCAUUCUGAUUUUUAGUGUGAGCCAUAUUGUAUUCUAUAUGAGCAGAAUUUAACACGACACGAAACCAAUUUAAACUAGAUAAUCAUCUCCACACAAGAAACCGUAGAUCAAGAGGCAAGACUUCCAUAAUAAACAUGAAAAAGUAAAGCAAAGCUAGAACCAAAAAGACUAUUUUAAUUAUUUAAAUUUGCAUUAACUAAAUUAACACUAUGGAAAUAAAAGGGCCAUAGAUGCACUUUAUCUAAACCAAAACCUUGGAAACCUGAGGCUCAUAUGUCACCUCGGGGCCACCUGGAGAAGGAGCAGAAGAUGCAUCACAGUAGCCUCUUAGUAGGUUCCUUUCUUCGGCAGUGAAUCCGAGGGAGGUGAGCAUGGUAGGCCAGCAAUUACGGGUGAUGAUGUCAAUAGUGCGGCAACAGUCAGGGCCAAUAUCAGCCUGGCCAUUAAGGAAGAAUAUAAUAAUCUCAUUUGAGCAUAAUUUCAGCUCCAUUAACGCGUUCCAGCACUCUGUUAGGCUUCUGCUAUCUUCAAGUCUUGCUGCAAGAUUGUUGCCUGGUUUUAUAUUGUUGUUGAGAUUAUCAUUCCUGCUGGUUGCAUUUGCAAUAUUUGUCAUGAUCAGGCAAGUAAGGGCCAAAAUGAAAAACACAUGCUUUAGAGUCAUUGCCAUUUUUCUUUUUCUUUUUUUUGUUGUGUUUAUGUUCAUGUGGGAUAUCAUAUUUUUUGUUGCUAUUUAUAAAUUAAGGUGAGGCAGAAGAGAAGACUAAUUAAAAAUGUUUAUAAAUUAUUGCUGAAUUUAUGAUCAAGAAGGUUUUAAUUAGAGAAGAUAGUGGGUCUUUUGAUGAAUUGUUACAUAUUGAUUGUGUAAUAACAAUUAAAUUAAUUAUGAGAUCUUGAGAGAAGAUGAAGAGUCAAAUCUGAAAUCUCUAUACAACUUUAAUACAUUGAUGCUAUUUAUAUACUAAUUAUUGGGAGAUUUUGCCUGUUGGGUUACUCCAGAGGCGUUGAAAUCAGCUCAUUUCAGAUUAUAAUUCUACAAAAUAAUUAAGUACAUAUCAAUGUGACUAAGAAGCUGUAGCAUUGUCAGUUUUGCUCAAUGACUAAAGACAUAUAGAUGCUGAACUUAGAGAGCAAAUGGCUUCAAUCGCAGCUGCUAUAUAUAGUAGGAAGUCCCAUUGAGUAACUUGACUUGCACGCAUGACAAAAUGCUAGGCAGAGACUUAUUUAUAAAGAUUUUUUUUAAUGCUUUCACAAGGCGGUCAGAGUCAAUUUAUGAUGAUGAGUAAAAGAAUUUAAAGGGUCCAGCUACAGUGCUUACGUGAUUUGAAAUCACGUUUUUUUGUCUUAUCUUAACUUGCCCUUAGAUUCCACAGAGAAAUAUCCAACGGCUUUGAACUAACCUAUGGUCAUAAAGUUGUUAACUGGUUACCGGCAUGACCAAGCCUUUGAAAAAAACAUGGGUUAGAAAUAUUAUCGGCGGCAUAUGGUUAAGGGGUUUGUGGUGGUGCUUGUUAGAUUUAUCCAGCCUUUUUAGAUAACAGAGAGAUCGUUCAGGAGCUGUACUGGAGGGGUUUUUAUAAGAUCAAAUCAUUGACGGAGAAUCAAAUGCUGGCGAUUGAAGGUGAAAGUGGAGAUUGAGGUAGGUUUUUAAUAAGAACUGCGGAGUUGGGGGUGUUAAUUAGCGUGCCUGUUAGUUUUUUUUGCAUAAAUUUAUAAUGGGCAUAUUGGGACUUUGAAAUUAUAAGGGUAUUCUCGAUUGUACAUGUCAUUGAUACUGUUUUUUCUUCCUAGAACAACUCCAUAGACCUCAACAGAGGUGUUCCUGCUUAUUCCUUGGUCUGACACAGUCAACAAACUUUGGCAUACUUUUGUCUCGUUAAAUAAUGAAAAUGUUGCUCUGUGGGCUGCUUUUCUUAUUUGUCAUAUCAGGGAAUUUAAAUAUGGUAUGCAAUCAUGCAGAUGUUUUGAAGUCAUGAUAAAAAUAAUAUGUGUUUGUCGGAACCUUCUUAUGUGGUAAUAUGAUUGCAAACUUGUCAUUCUUGGCUGUUGAAAUUUGCGCAGCUUCCACAUCGCUUGUCAUGGAGAAUAGAAAUACACUCUUCAUAUGCCCGGGAAUUAGUCAAGUAUGGCUUGUCUGCACAAAACCUUUUGAUUAAUCAUGUCAAUUUUAAAUAGAUUAGCUUUUAAUACAAAAUCACCCAUUACAUAUUAUUGCACAAGAUUUUGAUUUGCACCAGGUAUUUGGUCAGCAAAUGGCCAGAUUCACAAGGAAGUUUUUUUUGGGGAUCAUAAAACAGUGUUUUCUUCCUUCUUUGAAAUUAUGCAUUCGGAAUCGGAUACCCAUAAUAUAUGUGUAGGGAGUACUAGAUUUACGUACUUGGCUUAUGAUGAUAAAUUUUCCGUAAUGUAAUUUAGAUGGAUUGAUUUUAGUAGGCAUUUGAAUGUGUAUUGAGGCAAUCAUCGAAAUAGGCUUUGUUGUGUUUGCCUUUUAAACUAGCCUACUUGUGUCGAAAUAGCUUGUCCAAUGUAGAUAAUAUAGCAAUUGUCAGUAAUUACAUGGAAUUUUAAUUUGUAAUGGUUGUAUGAUAUGUAGUCUCAAAUCACUGAUUUAAAGCCACGAAAGAAGGUAAUACCAGUUUAAGCGAUAUUUAUGAUUUAUUUUACCGAAGGCAAGAAUGGAAUUGGGGACAGUUCGUAAGCGGAAGGCAUUCAAUUCUGAUAGUUUUAUUGAAACAAUGACUGUUGUCAAUGGUGAAGGAAAUGAACCCAACGCAAAAUAGUUAUGGAUUUGUCGACUUCUUAUAAGUUUGUGAAAUAAUGACAAAAAACUUUAUCGAUCAAUUAUUUCUUUGCAUAUCCAAGAUUGAAUCUGAUUUUUGCUAAAGGAGAGGUUUUGGUUGCAAUCUUUAAAUGUUUAUUGGGGAAGCGGUACAUGGGAUGAAGGCAGGGAAUGAAAGGGCAUGCAUUACAAGAGAGAUUAGUAAGUUGGAAGUGAUGUUUAUUUUAUUUUUUAUUUUGGUUGAAAUACAAUAUUUUAGGAAUGAUAUGUAAUAAUAUUCAUUGAAUUCUCGUAGGAUCGAAAAGAAAUAGGAUUGGAAUUUAAGAACCUACCUCCAAGCGGAAAAAUCAAAUAUAUAAGUCAGUCGCACAAAGUUGAGAAAGUUGCUGAUGAGGAGGCAAGAUUUAAGAUUCCUUUUGUGAUUGAAUAUUCCAAAUGCCUACAAUUUGGGCUACUUUUCUGUUUGUUGUAUCAGGGGAAUUCAAUGUGGCGUCAAAUCUUAUUUUGUAUGUUUUGAUACCAUAAUUACAGUUUCUGCACUGCCAUGAAUGUUGUGCGCGGGUUUAAUACUUAUAUCGUACUUGUCAUUGCUCUAUUUUAAUCUUGUUCUUAGACUACAUUGCUCAUGAAUCAUGAUGGUGCUUGGGUGAAUAAACUAAUUCUAUCCUCUAGACAGUUGUUGGGUUGUAAUGUUACUGAGGUAUAACUUUAUAUCCGUCUUUAGUAUCUAGAAAAAUAAGGAUUUGAUGCACUAAAUUACUCCACACUCCAUACGUAACUAUUUCUGUAAAUGUACUUGAUUUGACUGAUAAAUUUGCUUUUGCCUUAUGUGGUGCUGCAGUGACGUCAGAGCGGAUUAUUUUGGAAUGCUUUUCCCUCUAUACUUAGAUAAUCAUGUCCAACGCACACCAUUGUCUCCAACAUUUGAGUGGUCAUUUACAAGAGGCUUUUCUAUUGUCUAUAGAUGAUUCUUCAUUACACUAUUAAGUUUGGAGAAAGAAAUAAGGAAAAACAAUGAAAGAGUAAAAAGAUAAAGGAAGAAAGCAGAAUAACAAACUGAAAAUUGGUUAUUAUACAUGUAAAUUGAGUGACAACAAUUAUUAGAACUGAGUGACAGAGUGAACAAAAUUCCUUGAAGAAAAUGGGGGGCCCUUUUGAAGGUAAUAUGAUGAUCUAAUUAAAAAAAAAAAGACAAAAAAGAAUGAGUAAGUUAAAAUUAUGGUGCUUGGAACAAAAUGAGAUAAGUUAAGAUUAUGAUGCCUGAAACAAAAAGAUGCACCAUUCUAAAUAGCUUAACAUUAGAUAUAUGUUCAGUUCAAAAAUUGAUACUUGGUCUUUCCUGUAAUGUUGGAUAGUUUUUUCUCUUGGCUUCUGGAAAAACAGUGAGACAAAUUUCCCACAACAUUUCAUGAAUUGAAGUUUCUAUCACUCAGGAAGUAAGUACAAAAAACUGAUACCACAAUAAUCAUGAUGUUUCAUCAGUCAUGCAAAUCCCAAACAUAAACUAAAUUGUAGCAUUAUGACCAUGUACUGAACAAGAAGUAAAACUUGUAUGCUGAUAAAUUUUGCCAGUCCCUCACGAAGGUUAAUCCAAGAAACCUGCACUGUCCUUCCAUCUCUCUGCGCACCAAUAUGCUUAAGAUCAUUUGCGAUUCCCUCAACCGUUGGAAUCGCAACACCUUGAACACGUAAAAAGUCAGCCUAAUAGUAACCAUAGAAGAGACCCAUAAAAAAAAAAGACAAAAUAAAGGUAAUUAAACAAUUGUAGAAGGAUUCANNNNNNNNNNNNNNNNNNNNNNNNNNNNNNNNNNNNNNNNNNNNNNNNNNNNNNNNNNNNNNNNNNNNNNNNNNNNNNNNNNNNNNNNNNNNNNNNNNNNNNNNNNNNNNNNNNNNNNNNNNNNNNNNNNNNNNNNNNNNNNNNNNNNNNNNNNNNNNNNNNNNNNNNNNNNNNNNNNNNNNNNNNNNNNNNNNNNNNNNNNNNNNNNNNNNNNNNNNNNNNNNNNNNNNNNNNNNNNNNNNNNNNNNNNNNNNNNNNNNNNNNNNNNNNNNNNNNNNNNNNNNNNNNNNNNNNNNNNNNNNNNNNNNNNNNNNNNNNNNNNNNNNNNNNNNNNNNNNNNNNNNNNNNNNNNNNNNNNNNNNNNNNNNNNNNNNNNNNNNNNNNNNNNNNNNNNNNNNNNNNNNNNNNNNNNNNNNNNNNNNNNNNNNNNNNNNNNNNNNNNNNNNNNNNNNNNNNNNNNNNNNNNNNNNNNNNNNNNNNNNNNNNNNNNNNNNNNNNNNNNNNNNNNNNNNNNNNNNNNNNNNNNNNNNNNNNNNNNNNNNNNNNNNNNNNNNNNNNNNNNNNNNNNNNNNNNNNNNNNNNNNNNNNNNNNNNNNNNNNNNNNNNNNNNNNNNNNNNNNNNNNNNNNNNNNNNNNNNNNNNNNNNNNNNNNNNNNNNNNNNNNNNNNNNNNNNNNNNNNNNNNNNNNNNNNNNNNNNNNNNNNNNNNNNNNNNNNNNNNNNNNNNNNNNNNNNNNNNNNNNNNNNNNNNNNNNNNNNNNNNNNNNNNNNNNNNNNNNNNNNNNNNNNNNNNNNNNNNNNNNNNNNNNNNNNNNNNNNNNNNNNNNNNNNNNNNNNNNNNUACUUGUAUACUUUAAUUUGUCAUACAAAAGAAAAAAAAACACGGGAAAGUAAAUCAAUAAGAUUAAGGAAAUGCAAGAGAAUUCUAGAAAUUUUGAAGAAGAAAAUUCUGGAAACAAGAAUUGAGGAGAAUUGAAAGAAUAAAAGGAACAAACCUGGCGGUAAUUUGGAACGCCGUCGAUUUAAGGAGUCAAGCAUUUGUUUUGACAGCCAGGAAAAUGGUCGCUCACUCAUCUCCAGCCGCUGUUGCAGAUCACUAAAGCAAAUUGGACGGUUGAGAUUGCUCAAAUUGAGGAGAAGUACCAAAAGAGAAAGGGGAGAAGUUCAGAGCGCCAUCAGCAAACAGCCGACGGGAGUGGGAACAAGCAGAAGUAGACGCUGCUGUCAGUGCUAAUGAUAUUAACCCUAUUACAUAUGCUUUCCCUAAUUUCUUUCUUCCAUUUUUUCCACAAAAAAUUGGAGUUCUUUUCAACUUCGAACAUAAGUUGUUAAAUGGGAAUGCGACCAAAACAAAGGUUCUUACCCUUAACUAUAUAGGCAGUAAAUAAACUGAUUUAUUCAAGAAAUUAUUUUAUAACAUUACAUGUGAAUUUUGGUCCCAACGGAAAUUGGCAUGGAUGCAAAGAGUAGUUUCAGCGUAGACUUGCAUGUAACGGGUUGUUGCAUUCAAUAACGUGUUUGUUGUUUGCAACCAGUUACUUGUAACUGUGUAGCAGAUAAUUGUAAAAUUUUUGGUGACCGGCUCCUAACUUGUUCAUCAAGUCAUUGUAUGUGUAUCUUUUCAAUCCGUCAGAUUUUAUCCAACGGUGUCUUUGGUAAAAGACAAAAUUCCGUGAUUUGGAAUCACAAAUGCAACGUAGCCUUGUCCGAAUCUAAAUGCAAGCUACUCUGAAUUCAGAUUGAUGAACUGUUAGACAUUGAGUUUCAUUUACAAAGUUGGCUGACUAUAGAAUAGCAUUGCUCCAACAUACAAGACAUUUAUCAAUUUUUAACUUUUUAAUAGAAUUUCUCUAAAGUAAUAAUAAUAAUAAUAACUCAAGGUGCUUUUUGUGUAUUAGAGUUGGUUGAAUUUCCUUCUGGAAAUGUGUAAUUGAUGAAUUGAUUCUGUUGUGCACAGAAUGCGGAAUCAAGCGCACCAAAUAAUUAUAGAAAAAUAAAGGACAUAAGAAUUAUGUGGUUCGGUAAUUAAACCUACAUCCACGGAGGCAAGAAAGAAUAAUUAUUUAUUUAACAAUUAAUAGAGUACAAUAUUUGAGUAACGAAUCUCACUUCUCAGAAAUCCAAAUAUACUUAGUACUCUCACACUCUGCAGGAAAGAUAAAUUCCCCAAAUACACUUCUCUCACUUCUCUCAAAAGCUUAGAAACUUAUAAGCUUAACCAUUUUGGGAUGAUCUCAAAUGAAUGAAAUCCUUAGCUAUUUAUAGGAGAAAUGAAUUAUUAUGCUAAGAAUAAAAUAAUUAAAAAUAUAAUUUUUAAUUAUUAUUAUUUUUCAAAUCCAUCCCCCAUUCUUUCUUUUCGGCUUUACAAAAUCAACAAAUUGUUGGUGCACCAACAAUUUGUUGACUUCAACAAAUCUCCACCUCGGCAAAAAUUUUUCAAAUCUGAGUCGACUACCAACGAGCCAUCAUCCCCAAAGUGGCUGCAUCUCUAUGACUGCCUACGUACCCAAAAUUUGGGAUCAAACCAACCAUAGUUCAAAAUUCUCGAAGGACAUAUCUUAACACAAUCGAAGGAUUUGAAUUAAUUUCAAGCAAUGUUGAAACUUAACUCCAGAAACUACCUUCGUCAACAUAUCUAAUGGAUUAUCUUUGGUAUCGAUCUUUCUCAACAACACAACACUGCUCUCGAUAAUCUCUCUCACAUAAUGAUAUUUCACAUCUAUGUGCUUCGUUCGAGCGUGAUAUGUUUGAUUCUUCGCAAGGAAUAUCGCACUUUGAUUAUCACAGAAGACCGCAAUGUUCUCAUGGAUUACUCCCAAAUCACCUAACAAGCCUUUCAACCAGAUAGCUUCUUUUACAGCUUCAGUUGCUGCCAUAUACUCUGCUUCUGUAGUGGACAGAGCAAUUGUCGAUUGUAGAAUCAACCUCCAGCUAACCGGACCUCCACCCAAUGUGAAUACGUAGCCCGUUGUUGAUCUUCGCUUGUUAAGGUCUCCAGCGAAAUUAGAAUCACAAUACCCAACACAUUGUUGACCACAAUCCUUCUUGAACAAUAACCCAACAUCAACUGUCCCAUACAGAUAUCGGAGAAUCCACUUUACCACAAGCCAUUGAUUUUUACCCGAAUUGUGUUGUAUCUACUAACGAUGCUCACUGCUUGAGAUAUAUCGGGCCUUGUGCAUACCAUAGCAUACAUAAGACUACCCACAGCACUAGCAUGUGGAACACGAGCCAUGUAAUCGCGCUCCUCUUGAGAUCUAGGACAUGAAGAAGAGCUUAAUUUGAAAUGAGGAGCUAGAGGUGUACAUACCAGUUUAGUUUUGUCAUCCAUACCGAAUCUUUCUAGCACUUUCUUCAAAUAAUACUUUUCAGUCAACCAUACGCUCCCAUUCUUCUUGUCUCUACGAAUCUCCAUCUCAAGUAUUCUUUGUGCAUCACCCAAGUCUUUCAUCUCAAACUCAGAAGCCAACUACUUCUUUAAUCUUUCGAUCUCAUCUCUAUUCUUCGAAACUAUAAGCAUAUCAUUACAUGAAACACGAGCCAUGUAAUCGCGCUCAUCUUGAGAUCUAGGACAUGAAGAAAAGCUUAAUUUGAAAUGAGGAGCUAGAGGUGUACAUACCAGUUUAGUUUUGUCAUCCAUACCGAAUCUUUCUAGCACUUUCUUCAAAUAAUACUUUUGAGUCAACCAUACGCUCCCAUUCUUCUUGUCUCUACGAAUCUCCAUCCCAAGUAUUCUUUGUGCAUCACCCAAGUCUUUCAUCUCGAACUCAGAAGCCAGCUACUUCUUUAAUCUUUCGAUCUCAUCUCUAUUCUUCGAAGCUAUAAGCAUAUCAUCGACAUAGAGUAACAAAUAAAUGAAAGCUCCAUCUGGUAGUCUUCUAAAGUAAACACAAUGAUCGUGUUCACUUUUGAUGAAUUUCUGCCCUUGUAUAAAUUGAUCAAAUCUUUUGUACCACUGCCUUAGGCGAUUGCUUCAGUCCGUACAAAGAUUUAAUCAACCUACACACAUGAUUCUCCUUUCCAGCAACUCUGAAACCACAAGGCUGAAUCAUAUAGAUUUCCUCCUCCAAAUCUCUAUGUAAGAACGCCGUCUUAAUAUCCAAUUGAGCCAACUCUAACUCAUAUUCUGCAACUAAGGCAAGUAGGAUACGAAUGGAAGUAUGUUUUACAACUGGAGAGAAAACUUCAUUGUAGUCAAUACCUUCCUUCUGAGCAAAACCUUUUGCCACGAGUCUUGCCUUGUAUCGAGAAGUUGAUUGAUUCGGAGAUCCUUGCUUUUUGGUGUAGACUCAUUUAUUGCCAAUAGCCCUUUUCCCUUUUGGUAACUUUACAAGUUCCCAAGUCUGAUUUUGAUAGAGAGAUUUUAUCUCUUCCUCCAUGGCUAACUUCCACUGAUCACUUUCACUGCUGCGUAAUGCUUCACCGAAAGUGUUGGGGAUGUCAUCAUCAAUAACUGGAAGUGCAUAGGCUACCACCAUAUCUUUAGUAAGCCAUCCGGGUUUCUUUAUCUCUCUUCUUGACCUACUUGUUGCUAUAAAAUCAUCAUUAUCUACUUCAUCAAUUGUUUCUUCAUUUUGUGGGACAUCAGAAAAAACAACCUCUUCUUCAACUCUAGGUGUCACCUCUAUAGUUGAACUCUUCUUUGAUGUAGAAUUAACUGGUACAUAUGGAGUUGCAUUAAACUCCACCCGCUGCAAUACCUCUUUGGUCUUGUUCUCCAUCUGCUGAGAACUUGAAGCUUUCAUCAUUGAAGUUUCAUUAAAUGUGACAUCUCUGCUACACACAAACUUUUUGUCUUUGAGAUCCCAAAACUUGAAGCCUUUUACUACACCUUUGAAUCCCACAAAGAUAGCUUUUCUAACACGAGGAUCCAGUUUACCAUCUUUGACAUGAUAAUAAGCUGGACACCCGAAUACACGAAGGGAAUCAUAGUCUUGUGCAUACUUUCCAGACCACAUUUCCAUAGGAGUUUUACCUCCAAUUGCAGCAGAAGGCAACCGGUUUACCAAGUGACUUGCGUAGCUUACAGCUUCAGCCCAAAACUUUUUAUCUAAACCAGCAUUAGAUAAUAUACACUGUACCUUCUCCAGUAAAGUACGAUUCAUACGCUCAGCCACACCGUUCUGUUGCGGAGUAUGUCUCACCGUGAAAUGUCUUUUAAUACCCUCGUUCUGGCAUACUUGCAAGAAUGGAUCAGAAGUAUAUUCACCCCCAUUAUCAGAUCGUAAUACUUUGAUCUUUCUGCCAGUUUGAGUCUCUAUUAAUUUCUUCUAUUUCACGAAAAUCUCUAGAACCUCAUCAUUUGCUCACAUGGUGUACACCCACACACGUCUAGAGAAAUCAUCAACAAAUGUAACAAAAUAAAGGCUUCCACCAAUUGAUGCAGUCUUGGUUGGUCCCCAUACAUCACUAUGAACAUAUUCAAGGAUCUCAUGAGUAUCGUGAUUAGCUGUACCAAACUUGAUCCUUGUUUUCUUGCCUGCUACACAAUGCUCACAGAAAUUUAAUUUACAGGUUUUGGUACCUUUUAAGAGUCCAUGUCUCAUCAGAAUUUGUAAAGACUUCUCUCCAGCAUGUCCCAGUCGUACAUGCCAUAGCUUGGUGGUGUCACUGUGCGCCUCAACAACAUUUGCUUCAUCAGUUGUACCUCCCUUCAAAUAGUACAGAUUGUGACGCCGAACCCCUUGCAGAAUCAACAUAGCCCCAUGUGUAAACUUCAUUGUGUCAUCUUCAAUGGUAGCUUUGUAGCCUUUAGCUUCCAAAGCACCCACAGAAAUUAGAUUUUUCUUUAAAGUUGGAACAAAUCUAACCUCUUUGAGUUCUCUGACCAUUCCAUCAAACAUUUUGAGCCGAAUUGUUCCUAUCCCCAUUGUGCUACAAGGUUGAUCAUUCCCCAUUACAACUGUACCGGAUUAUAAAUUACGAAAAUCCGUAAACCAUUCCAUAAUAUGACACAAAUGAUAGGUUGCUCCAGUAUCAAGUAUCCACUCGCUCGAACUAGCCACGUAUGCUACAGGAGUAAUACUUAGUGAAUAAUCAGAACACCUCAUCUUUCUGUGCCAUGUUUGCUGCUGCUGGUUUCUUCACAUCUCUCUUUUGAGCCUUUGGACAAUCUUUCCUCCAAUGGCCCUUUUCAUGACAAAAGGCACACUCAUCUCGAGCUAUAUUUCUGCUUCUCGAUUUGGAUCGAGAAUUCUUUCCACCACGCUUCUUCUGUUUCUCCAUCGCCCAAUCUCUACUCACCAAAAGCUUCAGACGGUGCUCGUUCAAAAUUUUUAUCAUUAUUCCGAAUCUCUAAGCUAGUCAAUGCUGUGCAAACAUCUUUAAAGACGAUCACACUCUUCCCAUAUAUCAAAGUAGUCACAAAAUGGCUAUAUUCCUCUGGUAGUGAGUGUAACAUAAUCAUAGACCUGGACUUCAUCCUUAAUAUCUUCAUCAAGAUUCUUCAAAUCAGCAAGUAACUUUUCAAAUCUUGAAACAUGAUCGUGCAUUGACACCCCGGGCUUCAUUCGAAAACCAUAUACUUGGCUCAUUGCAUGAAGGCGAUUUUUAGAACUUUUCACCAGGUACUUCUCCUCCAAUGUACGCCACAAAGUCACCGCACACUCCUCAUCUUUCACCAAGUAUUUUACCUCCUUGGUCAAACAAGAUCUGAUCUGACCACAAGCUUUCUCAUUCAUACGAUCCCAAAUUUCUUCAUUAUACAAGUGUCUUUUAUUUUUCAGAACAACAUUGAGAUCGAUUUGAAUAAGGGCAUCCAUAACUUCGCGCCUCCACAUGCUGAAGUUGAUUUUCCCAUCAAACUUUUCAACAUCGAUCUUCUGGCCUCCUAUAACAGGUACUGAAUAACGAUUUGACAAAUCUCACCUCCCACCUGAAGUGUCUCCUGAAAAAGUCUCGGUAGAUCUCUCCCCAAUUCUGGAAGUUUCACCUUCUACCAUUUUCUCAACGAACUAUUUUCACUUGAAAAACAGUCUCUCUGAUGUUAAUUUCGCGUGAAUAAAUGCACCAGGAAAGUUCCCAGGAGACUGGACGGGAACUCGGUCCCAAUUAAAAACCAGAAUCCUUAGACUCUUAUCGCCUUUGUUGACAGAACUUUCCUAGACAUGCAAAAAUACACACUACUUACAAUAAACUGUCUCCCAAGUACAAAUGGCCAUCUCCACCGUAUUCGUAAACAGUAUCGUAUGUGAACAGCACCGUAUACGGGAAUAGUACCGUAUACGUGAACAGUACCGUAUCCCCCCAAGUACGAACCUUCGGUUCUGAUAUCACUUGUUGUGCGCGGAAUGCUGAAUCAAGCGCACCAAAUAAUUAUAGAAAAACAAAGGACACAAGAAUUACGUGGUUCGGUAAUUAAACCUACAUCCACGGAGUCAAGAAAGAAUAAUUGUUUAUUUAACAAUUAAUAGAGUACAAUAUUUGAGUAACGCAUCUUACUUCCCAGAAACCCAAAUAUACUCAGUACUCUCACACUCUGCAGGAAAGAUAAAUUCCUCAGACACACUUCUCUCACUUCUCUCAAAAGCUUAGAAACUUAUAAGCUUAACAAUUUUGGGAUGAUCUCAAAUGAAUGAAAUCCUUAGCUAUUUAUAGGAGAAAUGAAUUACUAUGCUAAGAAUAAAAUAAUUAAAAAUAUAAUUUUUAAUUAUUAUUAUUUUUCAAAUCCAUCCCCCAUUUUCUUUUCGGCUUUACAAAAUCAACAAAUUGUUGGUGCACCAACAAUUUGUUGACUUCAACAAAUUUGCACCAACAAUUUAUUGACUUCAACAGAUUCUAUAUAUGAUCUGCGUCGGUACAAAAUCCCAUCAUUUUCUCCUGAAAAAUUUUUUUUUAGGCAAUUCAACCACGUGAUCAUAACCCUCAUUAAUCACAUGAACCUUUACUUCAAAGUCAUACCUCCGUUUUGAUAAUUAAUGUAGCGUAUGCAAUUGCACCCGACUAUCAUUUUUUUUAAUUAAUCAAAUUAUUAUUAUUUUUUAUUCCCAUGCGAAGGAUUUCAACCAAGAGAUAUUAUUAACUCUCUUAAAACAAAAAUAACACAUUGCGCACUUUAAUUUAAUUUGGAAGAAGAUUAAAAGAAAAACUUCAAUUUAAUUAAAAAUAACUUUAGUUCUUUUUUUUUUUUUUUGGAUGAAAAAAUCUUCGGUCAAUUUGAUACGACAACAAAUAAUUAAGACGCUCCUUCGAUUUGAAGCUUAGGCAUUUCUUGACUAUAACUGGCUUCUGUGGUUUCCUUAUGAGCUGUAAACAUGACUCUUCAAUUUUUUUUUUUUUAAGUUAUAGUCUCAUUACAACUGUAAACACUUAAUAUUUAUUUUUAGUACAAGGUUUUUUUUUUUCACUCCAAAUUCUAUUCUAAACAUCCUUUUACUUUGUACACUCUUUCAAUAAAUUUUGAAAUUUUUUCUCUACAUACUCUUUCAAAUACCAAAACAUUCCUCAAAAGUUAAUAAUAAAAUAUUUUUCUUGUACGUUUUGUUAUUUUUAAAAAAUUUCUUAUAAUAAAUAUAUUUUAAAUAUUCAAAAUAAAUUAUUAAGUAAAUUACCCAUUUAUCCCUCUUUUCUUUUAAAUUUUUGGACUUUUGGUAUCAUGAGAGUUUUUGGAUAUUAUAAAAAUAGUAAGGAGUCCAAUCUAUAUUGUUAAUUGAAGUGUUCAAUCAAUAGUAAGAAGUUACUAAUUUCUAUUUCUCUUGGAAUUGCUUUUUUAUUUUUUCUUUCUUUUUCUUUUUCAAUAUUGCUAUUAGUUUUUUCUCCAUGAGUAAAUUUUUGAAUUUUUGUAGUUGGCAACUCUAUUUGUUCUAAGGUUAGCAAAAUUUGAAUCUGGAUCCAGAUUUAUAUUUCUAUAUCUGGAUCCGUAUUCGGAUCUGCAACAAAAAAGAUACAGAUCCGGAUACGGGUAAUAUCCGCAACGGAUGUGGGCGUUUAUUCCGGAUAUCAGGAUCCGCAAAAAUUAAAAUUUAAUAACAUAAUAUAUAAUGUAAAAAUUCAAAUAAUUUGCCUAAUAAUAUCAAAUAAAAUCCAAUCAUAAUUUAACAAUUAAUCAUUCAACAUGAAUAACAUCCAAUAAUCUCAUAAAUCUACAAAUAAAAAUUAUUUUUUAUUUAAUUUUUAAUAUAUAUUUUUAAUUUAAAAUAAAAUUCAAUAAUUUACCUAAUAAUAUAAAAUAAAAUUCAAUCAUAAUCCAAGAAUUAAUAAUUCAACAUGAAUAAUAUACAACAACAUCAUAAAUCUACAAAUAAAAUUUAUUUUUAAUUUUUUAUCUAAUUUUUAAUAUAUAUUUUUAAUUAAAAAUAAAAUUCAAUAAUUUACCUAAUAAUAUCAAAUAAAAUUCAAUCAUAAUCCAACAAUUAAUAAUUCAACAUGAAUAAUGUACAACAACAUCAUAAAUCCACACAUAAAAUUUAUUUUUUAAUUUUUCAUUUAAUUUUUAAUAUAUAUUUUAAUAUGAUUUUUAAUUUAAAAUAAAAUUUAUCCGGAUCGGAUAUUCAGUUUUCAGGAUGCACUUGCCUCUGGAUUCGAAUCCGUGCGGAUCUCAAAUUGUCAUAUUCGGAUCCAGGCUGGAUCCGAAUUUAAUUGCUAUCCCUAAUUUGUUCUUAAGUAUUUUUUUUGUUUUCGAUGAUGAAAUAGAUUUAAUGGUGAGGAAAUUUUAGGUUUAUCACAGGAUAAUUGGAUUCAAUUGGAGUAUUCUAUUAACUUAAAUUAAAUUAUCUUUAUUAAAAAAUUAUAAGAGGAAUAUUUAUUAUAAAGUAUUUUUAUCAAAAUUGAAGUGUUCAGAGUCAAUUUAAAGUACAAAUAACCUACCCCUAUUUUUCUCACAUUGGUCUUUUAUAAGUUUUUAAUACAUCUUAUUGUUAAAGGUGUUAAAACAUUGGAUUAAAAAACACACACACACACGCCAAACAAAAGAAAAAUGUGACUAUUCUAAGUAAAAAUUUGUUAGGGUCAUGCCUAGUGCUUCGCCACUUCAUCGAUCUCCUACAAAUUAAACAAUAAGCCGUAUCAUUGUAAAUCCCUUCAUCUUCUCGUCAAACAUUUCUUCUUAGAAAAUUAAUUAAAUCACAAAUGAUGUGAUAAUAAGUCUAAUCACAUUUUGCCCACAGGACCAUGAUUGAGUGGCUGUUAAAUAAUUUUAUUUGGCUGUUCACAGCCCAUCGGAAGGGGAUUAUCUACAGCUUUUAAGCCUAUUUGCAUGGGCCAUGCACAGAUUUACGUUCAGUAAUCCAUCGGCCUUUCACUUUGACAGGUCUAGAGCUUAAAUCCUAAGGAAGUAAUAGGUUGUAUUAAAAAAAGAAGAAGGAAGUAAUAGGUUAAAAAAAUUAUUUCAACUUUGCCAACCCCUAUAUUUUAACCCCCCCCCCCCCAAAUCAAAAGAUAAUAAUAAAAAAACUCUAAUCACGUCUUAAUUAAUUAAAUGUUUCCCUCCCUCGGCUUAUCGCAUGAGCAGGCAACAUGCAUGCUAAAAAGCCUACUGUGAAUUUGUAAUUUAUCUUCUACAUUUCCGGCUGUCUAAUUUAAUUAAAUGCAAGGCUCCGGUUAAUUAAUUUCCAGCUAUGUGGUAACUGUUUUACAAUCUUCUGGUCUUUGGAUAUGAUGAUUGAUGGGUCUCUGUAUGUGCCAUAACUUAGAGGCACCAAAUUACACCAAAUGUCCAAAUAAAAAAGAAAGAAAGAAACUAUCCUGAAAUAUCAAAUAAGUAAGUAAAUUAUAUCCAAUUUAUUUCGGAGAAAGUAACACUAGAAUAAAAUUUCCCUGGAACUUACGAUAAUAACUAAGAGUAAAAACUCAUUCUAAUUUCGGGAUUCCGGGGUCUGAGGGAACCAUAACUAAUUCUGGGAUUCGGGGUCUGAAAGAAUCACACCUAAGAUCAUAAAAGUAAGGAAGCACAUGAGCACAGAAUAAAUGACGUAGGUCCGGGAUAAACAUAUUUAUUUUCCUACGAACAAAUUCACGUCCACGUGUGCAAUAAUAGUGGGUGGCACGGAUCAUCAAGGAGAGAGAUCAAGGCUAAACCCUAGACCCAUGUCAUCCAUCAACUAUUAAUAGGGACCAUCUCACCAAAAAAAACCCUAAUCUUAUUUAUUAUUCUCACUUCCAUUAAAUCUAAAAAUCAAACACUGACUUGGGCAUCGGAGUGCCUUUUCCAGGUACCAAGUGUCACAAGUUCUCCACAAAUCAAAAGUACGUGUGAAGGUAAAUUUCUGCUGCCUUCAUUGGCGCCUUCUGUGGGGAUCGAACCCACGACCACGUGGGUACUUUAGACUUUAAUAGCCUGGAAGCUUGUACUUUACUUAAAUCUACAGCCGGAACAGUUGUACUUCCCUCGAAAGCUCCUAUAGCAGUAGGAACUACUUCCUCCACAACCACGCCCUGCUUUCCGCACUCAGCAUUCCCUGAAGGAGAAGUUUGGCUGGAGAAAGUAGCAACACAAUUAAAACAAAACAUGAAGUCAGGUAAGAAUAAAUGGAAAAAUCAAUAACAAAAGGAAAAGUCAUAAAAAUCCAACACGUACCAUCGUUCCUCAGUUUUUGAUUUUUUCCUACACGAGCAUUGUUAUCCUCUCUGUCAUCGGAAAAAGCUUCCUUACUCAAGCAUCUCUUAGAUAAAAUUUCCUUGCCACCACUCCUAUGGUCCUUUUUCGUCACUACUCCUUUGGUGGAUCAAAAAAGAUAUUCAUCAUGAUUUUCUGAAAACCAAAAAAGUAUUAAGAAAAUAACAUAUAUAUAUAUAUAUGUGUGUGUGUGUGUGUGUGUGUGUGUGUCUUCAUAAAAUAACAACAUAAGCAAGAGCAAAGGAACUUAUAUACUAUCAGAUUCCAACUCAUUAGAAUCAGUUGGAAGAAGAACUUUGCUUAGCCCCUUCUUUUGCACCCCUUUUGAAGGAUCAGAAUAUUUCUCCUUUUGUAGACCAACAUUUCCAAGUUUCUCGCUAUGAAUUUUUUAUGUAGGAUUAGUCAUUGUCUUCCUACACCCAAAUGAAGCCCCUCGGAUGGGAACAUCACAUUUCUUCAUAGAUCGCUUCCUAGCAACUUCACUAGCUUCACUACUUUGUCUCUCAAUAGGAAUCUUCUCCCUAAGCUUUGCCUUCUUUUUAUUAACCUUCCUUGGAAUAUACAAUUCCUUAGACCCAUAGGGAGGAGACCUUGGGCUCGAUAUAGGCGCCUUGUCCCCUAAGUCAAUAGGAAUCCCAUCCGAAAGAGGAAUGUUAGGAUUCUCAUCCUCGCCAGCCACAUAUAAGUCAAGUAUUGUCCUCGCAUCCUCAUUUAUUUCAUCAUAAUCGGAAAGGCGGGCAAGCCCAAGGGGGAAAACAAUGUAACCUCCUCUCAAACACAAGCUAUCAAUAUGACGAACAUAGUUAAAUCGAUCAACGCGUCUCAAACAAUGACGCGAAAUCAAUUCUGUAACACACAAAAAAUCCUUUCCCCAAAAAUUCCUCUCCAGGUAUGCCACUCGAGCACCCAAUAAAGGAGGAUCAACAAUAGGCCCAGCUAAAAAAAAAUAAAAUUGAGUAACACAAAAAACAUAGCAAUAGGAAUCCACAUAUAGCACGCCCAAAAGGAAUAAAUACUUACGGAGCUUUUUUUCGAAAGGCGUAACUGAGAACAUAGGAUUCCAUAUGCUCCUUCCUACACCAAUAGCCAGUAAAUAUUAUAGGACGGUUGAUUGACCACUCCCUAAACCUGUCCUUUUUCAUCGAAGAAAGAAUUUUGUAAAAAAUGCCCUUAUCCUCAAACCUCAUGGUAGUGAACCAUGAAUCCCUUUCGUCCUUAGGACCACUAUAAAAUUUAAGUCUAUAACAUAUUAAGAAAUCAUAAAAGGAGAGGAGAUGAGACCCCUUAAGAGCCAAAUUGGUGGUGGCAAAAGCUUGUAAUAAUAUUAGAACACAGGGGUUAAUCAUCAAGGGCGAAACUCCACAACGUGCAAAAAAUUCCAUAACUAGGGGAGGAAUAGGGAAUGAUAAUACCUCAAUUUGUUGGCGGUAAAGUAAAAUCGACUCCCUGUCAAUUCCGGGGUCCAUAAUAUCAACAUUAUCCGCAAGCUCUCUCAACUGGACACCAGGGCGAAGAUCCACAUAUUCCACAAAUCGGUCAAAUGAGAGCCUCUUUACUCUAGGGGCAGCCAUGUUCCUAGGAAAGUUUGGACGAGUUUGCAGGUUGGCGGGUAGUUUUGCCUUCCUUAUAAAUAUAGCCAAAAUAUUAUUGUCCGAGCAGGUAAGCUUUUCAUUUUGUAAAUUAAUUCAGUGAUCAAGAGUGUGGCUAAUAGAAAUUUAAUUUUACAUUAUACCAUUUCUUUGACACUGUAAUUGGAAUCAGGAUCAAAGAUGAAUUUGGGAACCAUUGUUUAUGAGCCACCCAGAAAUGGUCCUACAUUGUGGAGAAUUGGAGUCCCUCAUCGCUUAGCCUCCGAAUUCUUUGUACUAGAUCCCUACGCAAAAUUCAAGAACCCAUUGUUCACAGGAUCCUCGGACAAGUUAGUAUCUAAUUCAACAUUUAAACUCAUUUUGAAAAUUCGCUUUAGCUACUACACCAUUAAUUAGUUUCAUUUAUUAUAGCUUAAAUAAUUAAUUUUGAAUAUGCAUGAUUAAUUUACAAACAGGUAUAGACAAGACGAAUUAUGGAAACGAUAUGCAGACUUUUAUUCCAACGAUGAUCUCAAAUACACCAUUGGUGUGAGCAAUUACACUCGGGACUGGUUCUUUGCUCAUGUUACUAUGUACUUGUAUAAUUAUUUAAUCGAUAAUGAUCGAUCUCUUCUCGUUUCUGAAUUAAUCCUGGAGACCAAAAUUGUUAGAUCGGCCUAGCUCUUAAUAAUAAAUUUUGCAUUGCGGGAAAGUAGAAACUAACACAUUUCAACCAAUCACACAGCAGAUUAUAUUUCAAUUGGAGAAUGAGGACAACAAAGGAAAUUAUACACUCCAAUUAGCCUUGUCAGCUGCUACAUACUCUAAUUUGACUGUACAAAUUAAAUAAUAAUUAGCAACUCCAGCUAGCAUUAAUUCAAAACCAAUAAUCCUCAUCAUCACUGAUUCGUUUGCUGAUUUUUUUUUCUUACAAUAAUGGUAUAAAAUAAUAGGUUCAGCUCAAUCCUCAAAGAAAAAGGCGACCUCUAUUCUCGACGGGGACAAUAGGAAGGGACAAUGCGAUUGCUAGACAUGGAUUCAUGGGUUGUACAGAUUUUACAGCAUCAAUAUGCCAAGCAAUUUGCUUCACAGAGGAAAAAAAUAACAUCUGUCUUAGUCAGUCAAGAAGCAACGGACCCUUCCAAGGAGUCAUGUAUGAUUAUAUUCGCUUUGAAGCACCUCCAGGCUAAGGACAGAGUAAAUUCAAUUAUAUCUGUUUUAGAGAUGGCAAUUAAGAGAUGUAAAGAAAUUGACGUACUUUGUUUUUGAACCUGAAGUAUAAAUGGUGAAAGAAAUUGAACGUAUAUACAUAAUUAAAUAGAGUAAUUUUUUGAUUUAAUUAUUUGGGAUGAAGUGUAAAGCUCAGCAUGAUGACUUAUUUCUUGAUUGGUCUGGUCUAAUCAACGGCGUAUGAUCUUAAUCAUUGCUGUUUGAUAGGUCCCAAUCAAAGCCGUAAAUUAUAUAGUAACGAUAGUAUUCUCUUAGGGUGAGAAAAAGACCACAAUAAUUUUAAUUGGAUUCCGCUCCUUUAAUUAAUGACUAUCAAAGAAUUUAAAUACAAAAGAAAUUAACAACUAUUCCUAAUUCCUAGAUAAUAUCCCUAAGAAAUAGAACAUUAACGGGUAGUUAAUGACAACAAAAUCGCCAAAGAUUAUUCAAAAUAAAAUAAUCACUACUCAACCUAAUUUUAAGCUAAUAAGCUAGUGGACACGUAGUCAACAAACUGCACUCAACAACAUCCCAAAGUCCUUGCCACAAUAAUAGUUUUGCAUGCCCCACGCAUGGUUGCUUGCAUGUGCCCAUGCAUAUUCGUCAUAUUUGUUGUUGGGUUUUGCUUCUCACUUGGACUUGCGUAUACUCUUAUCACUGUUAAUAAUUUUUUAUCAAACACACAGUGUAUUCAUGCGAUCAAUAACACUCUUGGUCAAUUAAUUAAUUCUAUUUACUAAUUAGCUAGGCAAUCUAAAGUCAUCAACAUCUCCUAAUUCCACGCAAUUUUAAUUUCUAAACUAGGAUUUCAUUUUUGAAUCCUAAAAUUUAAUAUAACACCAAUUACGUUAUGCAAAUGCACAAAUAUUAGUCCCUUCUGAUAUUCAUAUCACUCAAUCACAACGGGCAACAUGCCAUGAGGGGCUAGCAGGGGCUUUCGAGAAUUUUUAAACUAAUUUUGAUAUUUUUCCAUUUUUUUAACUUGAUUUACCAUAAAUCCUCUACUGAAUUUUAAAAAGAUAAAAAAAAAUGAGAUUCUAAAGUUUAAAGACACAUGUUUUGAUUUUGAUUUUCUUUUUUUUUUAUAAUCUAAAAUCUUUUUUCUCUUUCUGCAGCAACAGCAGUUGCAUUAUUGUCACUCAGGACUCCAUUGUUGUUUGUUUCAUUUUUUUAGUUGAAAAUUUUAAGGUACAUAAAAUAAAUUGGAUAAGUAAAACACAUUUCACUUUCACAAAUUGCAUAUUGUAGAACACAAUUUGUGUCAAAUGCCUCAAAAGUUGAUAGAAUAAAUUAGUUUAAUUGAAUGUAGUAAAUGAAUUGAUGUCCUAGUGGUUGAAUGAUAGUAUAAUUAUGUGUAGAGAGUAAUAAAUUUUAUACUGUUGAUAAUGAAGUUUGCCUUCAACAUUUUCAAGGUAUGGAAACACGUCGGCGCCAGUUAUUGAUAAAUUGAAUGAAAUAUUUUAAUAAAUAUGGAUUUUGGUACUAUUGGAAUUUUUUAAAAAAUUAUAUUAUCAUUUAAACUAAGCUCAUUUGACAUUGAACUUCUGGCACCACCAUAGGGGAUGAUGACAGAGGUCGGUAGCAAAGUUGAUGACAAAGUGGGCAGUUGGAUUCUUUGGUCGGAUCAUGCUACUCAUGUCACAAUUGUGCCAACAAUUUUGAGAAUUACGCCCCUAAAAAUGAUAGGGAUAAACAACAGUGUUGAUAAUAUGAUAGAAUGAAAACAUAUAAAGGCUACUCUAAACGCUAUCGUUGUGUUGAAUAAUCUCAUUUCCGAUGUUUGUGUCUGAGAAUUUCAUACGAACCAAAAUACUGAUUGGUAGUUUGAUGAUCAGCAAAAUAACAACAAUAAUAGCAAUUUCUGGGUACUAAAGCCAUCCAUAUCAGUAUCGAUGUUUUGUGGACUAAUCAUCACGCUGUUAAUAAUAAUUCAUUAUGCCCCUAUAAUAUCCACGCAGAUUUUGAUGACAUAUGUUAUCCGAGUGAUUCUACGUUGCAACAUCGAAGCCUUGACAGUUGAGACUAUCAGGCCCUGGACAAGAACAAUUUUGAUACUUGUGGAGUCGUUGGAGUUUCCAAAAAUGUACUGAAUUAUUGAAAUUACUAAUUUGGCAGUUUAAUGAUCAUUAUAACAACAAUAGCAAUAGCAACCAUAAGGUGAUUUGGCAGUUUGAUGAGCAUCGUCACAACGAUAGCAGUAGCAGCAAUAAGGCUGGUAUUAGUUUAUGGAUAUUAUUGAACCAUUGAAUUCGUAUGGAUGAUUGGAGAUAGGGAACCACCACAUGACAUUUAGGUGGAACUGGUUUGACAAGAUCGGUUGAGAGGGAAAUUUUUUGGGCCCACUAUUUUUUUUUCUUAUGCUUUACAAUUUCUUUUCCCCUUCUCUAUUUUAUGGGGGAUAAUAUUUUAAUUAAAAUCCUACUUGAAGGAGGUAACAAUCUGAUUCAUAUCCUCGAUGCCCCUUACAAGAAACGAGUCUCCAUGGUCUUCAACAUUACGUUCUGUGAACGAUGUUCUCUCAUUUAAAUUGAGCGCAAGUUUAUCCAGUCUCUAAAGUAGAAACCGAAAUGUAGGCUGCAGUUUGUAACACUGUUCAAGCCGAGAACACCUACAAAACACAUAGAGACCAAGCCGGGAACGAGACAUGGCGACUACCAAUCUUCUAACAUCACGAAUAUGACCCACAAAGAAAGUACGGACAGGAAACAGCAAAACAAAGUCAUUUUGCUGACCUUGAAACUUAUGAACUGUUGUGAUCUGACUUGGUGAACUAAUAAAGGAAUAUGGAGCACAUCGCUUGUUGACAACAUCACAAAUCAAAUGCUUUUGGCCAUUGUGAGUUGUCAAGAUGGAUAUGUUACUUGCAGGGUAACCAAGUAGUCUCAUGUAUAUAUAGACACUGACAAUAUAUUCAGCCUCUCCCUGAUUCUGAUAGAACCAAGGAGAAGGUGUUGAAAAGUCAAAAUUGGUGAUUUGUUUAUUCAAAUUAGUUGAAAAAGAAGAGGUGAGCCACAUGCAAAAUUGACUUUUAGAGGAGUUAGGAACCAUGUGCAUGAUUUCUUUAAAAAAUGAAGAAUUUUUGCAACUUUAUAAAGACUUUUUUUAUGCAAUUGAAGAGUUUUUCAAAAGAUAGAAAUGGUGGCCGAAAUCAUUGAAAUAAUUGCAUGUAAAUUAGAUGUUAGGUACAAGCUUGGUGCCUAUAAAUAGAGAGCAUUUUUUCAUUCUAUUUCAUCUCAAAAAUUUAUUAAGCUUAUAAGUUUCUAAGUUUUUGAGAGAAGUGUGUCUGAGGAAUUUAUCUAUCAUACAGAGUAUGAGAGUACUGGGUAUAUUUGGGUUUCUGAGAAGUGAGAUUCAUUACUCAAAUAUUUAUACUUUAUUAAUUGUUAAAUGAAUAAUUAUUCUUUCUUGCCUCCGUGGAUGUAGGUUUAAUUACUGAAUCACAUUAAAUAAUUGUGUCCUUUAUUUUUCUAUGAUUAUUUGGUGCAAUUUUUGAUUCUGCAUUCUGUGCACAACAAGUGGUAUCAGAACCGACGGUUAGUACUUGGAGGGAUACGGUAUUAUUCACGUAUACGGUACUAUUUUAGUAUACGGUACUGUUCACAAAUACGGUGGAGACGGCCAUUGUACUUAGGAGACAGUCUAUUGUAAGUAGUUUGUAUUUUUACAUUUCUAGGAAAAUUCUGUCAACAAGGCGAUAAGAGCCUAAGGAGUCUUGGUUUUAAGUGAGACCGUUGUGACCCCUCCAUUCUCCUGGGAACUUUCCUGGUGUAUUUAUUCAUAUGAAAUUAACAUCAUAGAGGCUGUUUUUCAAGUAGAAAUAGUUCGUUAAGAAAAUGGUAGAAGGUGAAACUUUCAAAAUUGGGGAGAGAUCUACCGAGACUAUUUCAGGAGACACUUUAGGUAGGAGACGAGAUUUGUCAAAUCACUAUUUAACACCUGUUAUAAGAGGCCAAAAGAUCGAUGUUGAAAAAUUUAAUGGGAAAAUCAACUUCGGCAUGUGGAGGCGCAAAGUUAUGGAUGCCCUUAUUCAAAUCGAUCUCGAUGUUAUUCUGAAAAAUAAAAGAAACUUGUAUGAUGAAGAAAUUUGGGAUCGUAUGAAUGAGAAAGCAUGUGGUCAGAUAAGAUCUUAUUUGACCAAUGAGGUGAAAUACUUGAUGAAAGAUAGGAAGUUUAUGAUGACUUUGUGGUGAACAUUAGAGGAGAAGUACCUGCUAAAAAGUCCUGAAAAUCGCCUUCAUACAAUGAGCAAAGUAUAUGGCUUUCGAAUGAAGCCUAGGGUGUCAAUGCACGAUCAUGUCUCAAGAUUUGAAAAGUUACUUGCUGAUUUGAAGAAUCUUGAUGAAGAUAUUAAGGAUGAAGUCAAGGCUGUGAUUCUGUUACACUCACUACCAGAUGAAUAUAGCCAUUUUAUGACUACCUUGAUAUAUGGGAAAAGUGUGAUCAUCUUCAAAGAUGUUUGCACAACAUUGACCAAUUUAGAAGUUCAGAAUAAUGAUACACAUUCCAAAAGAGCAUCGUCUGAAGCUUUGUUUGCCAGAGAAAGGACGAUGGAGAAAAAGAAGAAGCGUGGUGGAAAGAAUUCUCAGUCCAAAUUGAGAAGCAGAAAUAUAGCUCGAGAUGAGUGUGCCUUUUGUCAUGAAAAGGGCAAUUGGAGGAAAGAUUAUCCAAAAGCUCAAAAUAGAGAUGUGAAGAAACCAGUAGCAGCAAACAUGACACGUGAGGAUAGAGACUCAGACUACUCAUUGUCUGUUACGUCUACGACGUAUGUUGCAAGUUCAAGCGAAUGGAUACUUGAUACUAGAGCAACCUACCAUUUAUAUCCUGUUAGGGAAUGGUUUACAGAUUUCAGCGAAUUGGAAUCUGGUGCAGUUGUGAUAGGGAAUGAUCAACCUUGUCGCACGAUGGAGAUAGAUACAGUUCGGCUCAACCUGUUUGAUAAAAUGGUCAGAGAAUUGAAAGAUGUUAGAUAUAUAUCAGUUUUAAAGAAAAAAUUAAUUUCUUUAGGUGCUCUAGAAGCUAAAGGCUACAAGGUUAUCACUGAAGAUGGCACAAUGAAGUUUACACAUGGGACUAUGGUGAUUCUGCAAGGGGUUCGGCGUCACAAUCUGUACUAUUUGAAGGGAGGUACAACUGAUGAAGCAAAUGUUGCUGAGGCAUACAGUGACACUACGAAACUAUGGCAUGUACGAUUAGGACAUGCUGAAGAGAAGACUUUGCAACCUCUGAUGAGGCAUGGACUUUUAAAAGGUACCAAAACCUAUAAAUUAAAAUUCUGUGAGUAUUAUGUAAUAGGCAAGAAAACAAGGGUCAAGUUUGGUACAACUAAUCACAAUACUCGUGAGAUCCUUGAACAUGUUCACAGUGAUGUAUGGGACCAACCAAGACUGCAUCAAUUAGUGGAAGCCAUUAUUUUGUUACAUUUAUUGAUGAUUUCUCUAGACGUGUGUGGAUGUACACCAUGCGAGCAAAUGAUGAGGUUCUAAAGAUUUUUGUGAAAUAGAAGAAACUGGUAGAGACUAAAACUGGCAGAAAGAUCAAAGUGUUACGAUCUGAUAAUGGAGGUGAAUAUACUUCUGAUCCAUUCUUGUAAGUAUGCCUGAGUGAGGGCAUAAAAAAUAUUUCAUGGUGAGACAUACUCCACAACAUAACAGUGUGCUGAGUGUAUGGAUCAUACUUUACUUGAAAAAAGGUACGAUGUAUGCCAUCUAAUGCUGGUUUAGAUAAAAAGUUUUGGGCUAAGGCUGUGAGUUACGCAAGUCACUUAAUAAACCGGUUGCCUUCUGUUGCAAUUGGAGGUAAAACUACUAUGAAAAUGUGGUUUGGAAAGUAUGCACAAGACUAUGAUUCCCUUCGUAUAUUCGGGUGUCCAGCUUAUUAUCAUGUCAAAGAUGGUAAACUGGAUCCUUGUGCUAGGAAAACUAUCUUUGUAGAAUUCAAAAGUGGAGUAAAGGGCUUCAAGCUUUGGGAUUUCGAAGAUAAAAAGUUUGUGUCUAGCAGAGAUGUCACGUUUGAUGAAGCUUUAUUGAUGAAAGCUUCAAGUUCUCAGUAGGUGGAGAAUAAGAUCACAGAGGUAUUGUAACGGGUGGAGUUUGAUGUAACUCCAUAUGUACCAGUUAGUUCUACAUCAGAGAAGAAUUCAACUAUGGAUGUGACACCCAGGGUUGAAGAAGAAGUUUCUUUUGAUGUCCCACAAAAUGAAGAAACAAUUGAUGAUGUAGAUAAUGAUGAUUUUAUAGUAACAAAGAGGCCAAGAAGAGAGAUAAAGAAACCCAGAUGACUUACUAAAGACAUAAUGAUAGCCUAUGCACUUCCAGUUAUUGAUGAUGACAUCCCCAACACUUUCGGUGAAGCAUUACGCAGCAGUGAAAGUGAUCAAUGGAAGUUAGCCAUGAAAGAAGAUAUGAAAUCUUUCCAUCAAAACAAGACUUAGGAACUUGUAAAGUUAACAAAGGGGAAAAAGGGCUAUUGAUAAUAAAUGGGUCUACACCAAAAAAUAAGAAUCUCUUAAUCAAUCAACUCUUAGAUACAAGGCAAGACUCAUUGCAAAAGGUUUUGCUCAAAAGGAAAGUAUUAAUUACAAUAAAGUUUUCUCUGCAGUAGUGAAACAUACUUUCAUUUGUAUCCUACUUGCCUUAGUAGUUGAAUAUGAGUUAGAGUUGGCUCAAUUGGAUGUCAAAACGACAUUCUUGCAUGGAGAUUUGGAGGAAGAAAUCUAUAUGACUCAGCCUUGUGGUUUCAAAGUUGCUGGAAAGGAGAAUCGUGUGUGCAGAUUGAUUAAAUCUUUAGACGGAUUGAAACUAAUUCUUCGAAUGUGUUGAGUUUGGAGAAUUAUGAACUACGAUUGGCUUGAUCCUAAAUUUUGGGUACGUAGGUAGUCACAAAGAUGCAGCCACUUUGGGGAUGAUGGUUUAUUGGAAGUCGGCUCAGAUUUGGACAAAUCUUCGCCAAGGUGGAGAAUUAUUGAAAAGUCAAAAUUAGUGAUUUGUUUAUUCAAAUUAGUUGAAAAAGAAAAGGUAACCCACGUGCAUAAUUGACUUUUAGAGGAGUUAGGAACCGCAUGCAUGAUUUCUUUAAAAAAAGAAGAAUUUUUGCAACUUUAUGAAAACUGUUUUUAUGUAAUUGAAGAGUUUUUCAAAAGUUAGAAAUCGUGGCCGCAAUCAUUGAAAUAAUGCAUGCAAAUUGGAUGUUAGGUACAAGCUUGGUGCCUAUAAACAAAGAGCAUUUCUUCAUUCCAUUUCAUCUAAAAAAUUUGUUAAGUUUAUAAGUUCUAAGCUUUUGAGAGAAGUGAGAGAAGUGUGUCUGGGGAAUUUAUCUUUUUUGCAGAGUGUAAGAGUACUUGGUAUAUUUGGGUUUAUGAGAAGUGAGAUUCGUUACUCAAAUAUUUGUACUCUAUUAAUUGUUAAAUAAAUAAUUAUUCUUUCUUGCCUCCAUGGAUGUAGGUUUAAUUAUCGAACCAUGUUAAAUAAUUGUGUCCUUUUAUUUUUCUGUGAUUAUUUGGUGCAUUUUUUGGUUUCGCAUUUUGCGCACAACAGAAGGGACACUCUCCCCUCUGCCAUUGAAAUCAGGAACAUCCACCAACUGAUAAUCAUAGGAGAAUCUAGCAUUUGCCCCACGGAAAAUUGUUGCCUCAUUCAUGUAAGAAAGGUCCCCCAAAUCUCUGUACCUCCAAUUGUAAAGUCUGGCUAUGCUCGGUCAAGCUCUGCCCUGAGCAUUCAGCUCUAUAUAGGGAAUUCCCAGACGAACAAACCUUGUAAAUAAGCUCUGAUCCAUGUGACUGCAUUUCUGGAAAGCCAUAUUCUUGACAACAUGUGGCAGCUGAUGAUGAUCACCAAUCAGUAUGCAGCGUUUAAGACGUUCAUAGCCAUCCUCUGGUCUCUGGAGCAACAAGUCUCAAUCUCCAACAUUUUGGCACUUUCUUCCAUCAAGAGAUUGUCAUACUUGAAAUCUAAUCGAAGAAAAUCCUCUCUUUAGAGCUGCAUAAGUGCAGGUCAUUGCCACGAUCUUUGCCUACUUUGUCAUCGGUAAUUUACUCGAUCAGCUGUUGACUUAAGCAACUCAAAUGCCCUACACUCUUAAAUCUCCUGGAACAUAUUCUCAAGAUGAUGAAAGCACCCCUUGGUUGCCCGCAUGUCUUCCUUAAAUGACCUGCCCGUGAAAACUGGCUGAGGGGUGUUUGAGAAAGACUCCUUGAAGGGAAAGCGGUCUUUUAUGAAGGUUAAUUUACCUUCAUUAUCCACGCAAGCUGCAAGGAAUUGCUCCCAGUAACAACAAAAAAUAUUCAGCAGUUUCACAAGUAUAACCUACAUCUUCAGGCAGUCAGAGAGAUCUUAUAAGACUCUCAACCUCACUAAGCAAUUCUAACUGUGUAACAAGCAUUGCGUUUACUCGGCCUUCCCGACUGAAGUCAACGUCAGUUGCCAGUUCUUGUUCACCUUGUCCUAAAUGUAGCAGGUAACGUGCAGGAACAUCCCUCUGGAAAAGAAAUCAAGACAUCCAUUAGAUAAUUUGCUAUAAGCGACUGCCAAAGGGUGUAAAACAUAAAAUUUAGAUUUGAGGAAAUCAAAACAUGCCACAGUCACUUGCACAAUAAGCAAGACAAAGCUAGGCAUCAGACAUUUCAAUGCUCUUGUACGCUUUAAAUUGUAUGACAUGACUCUUUUGAUUAAAAUAAGAACUUGAUGACAAUAUUUCAAAAGAGAAUAUUAAUAAACUAAAUUAAUGUAUUAAAAGAUAAUUCGAUAUUCGAAAUUCAUAGAAAUAUACUUGUCUCCGUUGAUUCAACGACAAAGUUGAAUCAGACAAACCUAGGCAACAAACAUUUCUGUGCUCCUGUACGCUUUAAAUUAUUGCAUUUAUCGUGUUGUGCUUUAACCCACCCACAUGUCUAAAGAUGGCUAAACACAAACAUAAUCAUGUGAUGCAAAAUGGGACAUGAAAUAUAAUAACAGUACUUUGGGGGUUAAGAGUUUGAAUGUAAAUUGAGAUUUUAGAGAUGCCCAUCGGCCUUUGGUCAAAUGGGAGAGCGUUUACUCACACAAUGUGGAAGAGUAGGUGUUAGAGCAUCUAUAAAGCAUCUCACCAAGAAAGCCAGCAGUGCUUGUGUUUGCUUGGAAGUAGCCAAAGAAAUUGAGGCUUUGCCAGUGUGUGAGGCCAGGAAUGAUGGAGUCGGCGACAUCUUUUAGAAUGUCAUCCAAUGACUCUGGGGAAUGCAAGGCUAUGUCAGGCAACCAAACUGAUAAAUAACCAGGCUCUACUUUGCUUUGAACAGGGUACUUCUCAAUGUUUUGUAAUAACUAGCAAUGAAAUUAAUGACAACUUUCGAUUCAUCAGCGAAGCUCUUUGGCUCUAAAUCUGCUGAGAGGUUGCUGCUAUGUGUAUUAGCAUUUGCAGGGAGAGAGAGACUUCCCAUUUUAAUUGUUUGAGUUUGAUUUACUCGGCAGGAUGGAUAGAUGGGUAGAUGUGCCGGUCAGUCACACUUGAGACAUAUAUAUGUGUGUGUAUGUAGACGCGCGCACAUUCACACACAUAUAUAUUUGUAUAGCUGAUUCUUUAUCAAUAUGCAGUACAAAACAUUAAUUUAUAACAAAUUUAUUGACCGUCAAGUUUUAUUAAAAGCAUAGAACAGUUACCCGCUUCCAUCGAGGAUUCUUAUAAUUUGCGUAGCGAUAUUAAUCAACUUCCACAUAUAUGUUACCCUCGUCCUCAAAGUAAGUAGCAGACUAAUCUUGAAAUCCAAUUUGAUAACGUUCGGACCACGGAUUCCACAAAACCUAAGAUGCGCCGAGAUGUACAGUAACAUGUCCGCAUUUUAAAUCUGCUGAGAAGUUGCCGCUAUGUGUACUAGCAUUUGCGGGGAGAGAGAGACUUCCCAUUUUAAUUGUUUUGAGUUUGAUUUAUUCGGCAGGAUGGAUAGUUGCCUAGUUGGGUAGAUGUGCCGGUCAGUCACACUUGAGACAUAUAUGUGUGUAUAUAUGCACGCGCGCACAUACAUAAAUAUUUAUACAGCUAAUUAUCCAUCAACCUGCAAUUCAUAACAUUAAUUUAUAACAAAUUUAUUGACCGUCAACUUUUACUAAAAAUAUAGAUGUUAAUUAGCUUCCACAAAUAAAAAUCGAGAAUUCGUAUAAUUUGCGUAGAGAUGUUAAUUAGCUUCCGUAUAUAUGUUACCCUCGUCCUCAAAGUAAUUAGCAGACUAAUCUUGAAAUCCAAUUUAAUAACGUUCGGACCACCGAUUCCACAGAACCCUAGAUGGGAUUAAUUUGAAAUAUUAAUAUAAUGCAAGAUGAUAGUUAUUCACACUAAAAACUUAAUUGAUUUUCAAAUAAUUUUAUUUGAUUGAUUAUUUAAAAUUUUUAAAUUUUAAGAGGUAUACAAUAUACCGGCUUGCUAGUAAAUGAUCGUUAUUAUCUGGCACAAUGAGUGUUUAGUACCAUAUUAAUUAGAGAGACAAUUCCCUUUACUAUUUUGUGGGUCAUCUUAACUCAGUGUCGAAAGAAAGUGUAUUUAAGCCAUUUAGUAGAUGGUCUUGCCAUGUUGUCGACAGAAGGAUUAUUAUCAUCUAACACUGCGUGUUCUUAACACCACACUUAGUGGAAGAUCAUUACCUCUGGCACACUAAGUGAUUGAUACCAUAUUUAUUAGAGUAAGAAUUAUAAGGAGUGAAAAUACUCCCCUCAUGAAUUAAUUGGAACGAAUAUUAAGCCCAUGAUGAAUGUUAAAUGUGAAUCUAAAAACUCAAGCGUCUCAUUUGCAUUGUUUUUAUUUUGAAUUCAUUUCCGCCAUUUUAUUUUAAGUCUUAAGAUAAAAAAAUUCACUUCUAACCAACACACAUUUACACCUAGAACCCUACGCAUAACUAAAUCUACCUCAUCGUGGGAUCGACACUUGUCACCAUAAAAUAUAUUCUACAAUAGAUUCGUGUGCUUGAGAGUACAAUAAAAUUUGCACAACAAUCAUUACUGGUGGCAGGCCAUGAAGAGAGAGAUAACAUAAUUUAUUUCUUGGUGUUAAGUUUGUCAGCAGAUUAAUACCGAACAUUAGAGGCCUGUAGGAUGUUCUUAGCCGCUUCUUGCUCCUAACUAGAAGUGGGAGUUCAUCAACAUAGAUUUUAUAACAUGGCUUUCACUUACUCAGAAGGAACAUAAUAGUGUUUUGGUAGUUGUUAAUCAACUUACAAAAUCUACUCACUUUUUAUUAUUUUAAACUAUUUGAUGGAAAAGUUAGGGAGUAUUUAUGUGGCUGAGAUAGUUCGACUUCACAAGGUAUCAGUGUGUAUCAUCUCAGAUAGAGAUUGUCGAUUCACUUCUAAGUUUUGGACUAGUUUGCAGAAUGCUUUAGGCACCAAGUUGAACUUUAGUACAACUUUUCACCCACAGACUAAUGGUAAGUCAAAGCGUACUAUUCAAACCCUAGAAGAUAUGCUGCGAGCUUGUGUUAUGGAGUUUAAAGGCAAUUGAGACAAUUACUUACCUUUGAUGGAGUUUGUUUACAACAACAUUUAUCAAGCUAGCAUUGAUAUGGCACCAUAUGAGGCAUUGUAUGAUAAAAGUACAGAACUCCAUUAAGUUGGGAUGAGAUUGGUGAGCAGAGGUUAUUUGGUCCCAAAUUAGUUGAGAAUUGAGUAUUUUAUGUUAAGUUUUGAUAUCAUUUUCAUGAAUGUUAGGUAUUGUAUCAUGUCUCCUUUUAAUGAUAGUUGUUUGAUUUAAAGUUUGUAUAAUAUAAUUAUGUUUGUACUUAUAGUUUGAUGAAAAUGAUAUAUUGAAAAAAUAUGACUAUUUUUAAAAUAAGUUCAUUUUUAAAAUUUAUUAUCCAUUUACUAAGCUUAUUGAGUUUUAUGUUCCCCUAUUUUUAUUACACCACCCCCCCCUCCACAGGAGGUUACAAGUACACCAGUCAACCCAACAAAUGUACUUAUUUUGGAUUUUGCUUACGUAAUGGUACUAGGAGUAUUUUGGAUUUUGCUUACGUAAUGGUACUAGGAGUAUUUGAUGUUAUUGUUAAGAUAUUUUAGAUUGUAUAAUUUUGUUAUUUUUGGGUGAUUGAAGAUAAGAAAAUGUGUGUGUGUGUAUAUAAUGUAUUUGGCAUUGGAUAUUUGAGUGAGUUUUGGUAUAUUAGUUGAGAAGGUUGACUAAUGAAGUUGGUUGUAUUAUGAAUUAUUUUUAGGAAUGCUUGUUUUUUAAAUUUACAAGUUUGGGAAUGUUGUAUUUAUAAGGGAGAUUUUGCUGAAUUUUCGGUAGAAUCCUUACUAAUUAGAUUUUUAUCAGUUCAAUUAGCUGCCCUUAAAUAGACUUGCCCUUAGAGUUCGAGGUAGGUCGUUUCAGAAAAAUAUGCAUGUGUACUAUAUUAUUGCCAAUAUUAUUAUUUCCAUUCACAUUAUUCUUAUUAACUAUUAUAGUUAACUAUUAUUAUUAUAAUAGUUAAUAGUAUUUAUUUUCAUUGUUACUAUUUAUAUUUUUAGCGUCAAUUUACUAUUAUGAUUACUUUCAUUUUUAUUAUGAAUAUUAUUAUAAUUAAAACUAUUGCUAGAAUUAUAAAUAAUGAUAAUUUUUAAUAUUGAUAUUUAUUAUUAUUAUUUAAUAUUUAAAUGGGAAAAAUAAUUUUUUUCUUUAAGGGAUAAAAAUGUUAAUUUAUUCCCCAUUCUCAUCCCCGCAUUUUCACGCCUAGCUAUUAUUACCAAAUUUGUGGGCUCCACCAAAAAUCCAUUUUCAUUUCCUUAUAUUUAUAUAAGUAAAUACUAUCAAUGAUUCUCAUUUCUUAUUCUAAUUUCCCAAUUCAAGAAAUAAACAAACCAUUACUCUAGUGGCUUUAAGCUAAGGUGAUUUUAUUUCACACUUGCACAAUAAAAAAAAUUAAUAUAAUUAUCAUUUUUGUUAAAAUUAUUAUUUAAAAACCAUAUAUAGCAUGUACUAUUAAUGGGGAAAAAAAGUGAAACCCCCCUCUUAUUUGACUAAACUAAUCGGAACCUGAUGUUUUAAAGUAGAGAAAUUACUAAUUCCCCUUGGUGAAAUCAAUACAUACCAUUUACCUCCCUACUGUUUUUAUAACAACCAAUAACCCCUACAACAACAUAAUUUUACAAUAGUACUCUUAUUUUUAAAUACAUUUUUAUUCAUAUUUGUCAUAAAUUAAAUAAAUCAUAUAAAUAGAAAUAAAAAUAAAAAUUUAUGUUCCAAAAAUAAGAAAUAUAUGUUUCAAUGUGAAUAAGAAAUUAAUAAUAAGAUAUUUUUCUUCUACUACUUUUUGUUAUUUUACAAACAUUUUCUUAUAAUAAAUAUAUAAAAUAACAAAACUUACAAAAAAAUAUCUUAUUAUUAUUAUUUUUUACAUCAAAAUGUAUAUUUAUUAUUUUUAGUACUUAAAUUUUUUAUUUUUUAUUUAUAUAAUUUAUUUAAUUUAUAAUAAAUAUGAAUAAAAGGGUUAAUUUAUAUUGCUAGGGGGUAAAUGAUAUGUAUUGAUUUUAGUAUGGGGAAAUUGGCAAUCUCCUUAAACAUAUCAUUAGGGUGGUGAUUUAGUGGACAAUGAUGGUUAUUUUAUAGUGAACGAUAGUGUUAUGUGAUAUUGUUUCAAUUGUUUUAACAUAUAUGGUGUGUUUGGGAUUGAGUUUGGGCAGCUGUAGCUUAAAAGUUACAGCACUAAAGUGUUUGGUAAACACUAGUUGUUAUAGCUUGGAAACUAUCUUAAUAUGAUUUUUCACUUGUAUGAUAAAAAAUCUAUUAUAUCUUUAAUAAUUUUGUCAAAAUUAUUAUUAAAAAAUUAUAUUUACUAUAUACUAUUAAUUUUUAUUUUAUAAUUACACUUUUUUUCCACAGCAUCUGUAGCUUAAAAACUACAACACCUCAAUACCAAACAGACUCAUAGUGAGUCACAGAAUUCUGGCAUAUGUUUACGUGCUAACUAUAUGGUGGAUAUUACUGUUCACUAGUUCUUCUUCUCAUAUAGUUAUAAAAAUAUUUUUAGAGUUUCUCAAUUUGUUAUACAAGCUUGAAUGAAUUGGCAGGUCAACUUGACAUAAUUGUUCGAUUAACUAAACUUGUCAUAAACAAGUUGGUUCAGAAUUAAACUUUUUCACAAAUCCGAACUUUAUAGUUUUGUGGUCUACGUAAAUUGGUUAACGAAUAUAAGAAAAACACUUAGACUAAGAGAGGAUUCUAAUUCAUGUAAUUACAAUUCUUUUACUUGAUAAUAACAUUUAUAUUACAUGCGAGGUUAUAUAUUAGAUUAUGAUUUUUAACUACAUGCCAUAUAAUUUACUAAUAUGCCAGAUAUCAUAAUCUUAUGCCAAAUUUUUCAGGAUUUAGAUUUUUUACUAUCUAUCAUAUUAUAUAACAAAUUUUUCGGGAUUUAAACUUUUACUUUAUGUCAGAUUAUGAAAUGGACUCUCAGGUGGUGUUUGGUUUUAAGAAAAGGGAGGAGAGGAGGGGAGAAAAAAGGAGAGGAAUGGAGAGGUGAUGAGAGGAAAAGAGUGCAAAAAUUAAUUGUUAUUAUUUGGUUUCACAUUAAAUUUGAAAGGAAAAUAAAUUACAUAUUUUUUAUUUGGACAAAUAUACCCACUAUCUUUAAUGUUAAUAGUG
RNAcentral lists this long non-coding RNA (43845 nucleotides) under Citrus x clementina. Its description in RNAcentral is "Citrus clementina (C. clementina) long non-coding RNA (CCLE_LNC001559)". The record is from RNAcentral. Lineage: Eukaryota; Viridiplantae; Streptophyta; Magnoliopsida; Sapindales; Rutaceae.